ACGGUCGAGUUGACCGUCGGGAUUGAGACCCCGGAUAGAAACCGCGACAGACACACGCCGCGAGCGUGUUUUUU
Molecule: small RNA, 74 nt
Filed under: Escherichia coli
Lineage: Bacteria; Pseudomonadati; Pseudomonadota; Gammaproteobacteria; Enterobacterales; Enterobacteriaceae
Also listed under: 2 other names
Description: isrK
Rfam family: isrK Hfq binding RNA
Source: RNAcentral